Molecule: ribosomal RNA, 205 nt
Filed under: Morganella morganii
Lineage: Bacteria; Pseudomonadati; Pseudomonadota; Gammaproteobacteria; Enterobacterales; Morganellaceae
Also listed under: 1 other name
Description: partial 16S ribosomal RNA
Rfam family: Bacterial small subunit ribosomal RNA
Source: RNAcentral
UAAUUGAAGAGUUUGAUCAUGGCUCAGAUUGAACGCUGGCGGCAGGCCUAACACAUGCAAGUCGGGCGGUAACAGGGGGAAGCUUGCUUCUCUGCUGACGAGCGGCGGACGGGUGAGUAAUGUAUGGGGAUCUGCCUGAUGGCGGGGGAUAACUACUGGAAACGGUAGCUAAUACCGCAUAAUGUCUUCGGACCAAAGCGGGGGA